CUUCCUUGUGAUGAACUAUUUACGGAUGUAAAACUGUCCUUCGGGACGUGUCAUUGGUCCGAGAGCGCAAAACCGUGUGGAUCUCUCCGUUGCCUUCCUGCUGAUCCUGGCU
Molecule: small nucleolar RNA, 112 nt
Filed under: Sporisorium reilianum SRZ2
Lineage: Eukaryota; Fungi; Basidiomycota; Ustilaginomycetes; Ustilaginales; Ustilaginaceae
Description: small nucleolar RNA Z13/snr52
Rfam family: Small nucleolar RNA Z13/snr52
About the family: Z13 or snr52 is a member of the C/D class of snoRNA which contain the C (UGAUGA) and D (CUGA) box motifs. Most of the members of the box C/D family function in directing site-specific 2'-O-methylation of substrate RNAs.
Source: RNAcentral